AAGUCGUAACAAGGUUUCCGUAGGUGAACCUGCGGAAGGAUCAUUCACAAACGAGUGUUUUAUGGCACUCUUUAAAAAUCCAUAUCCACCUUGUGUGCAAACAAUGGAAGAGAAGAGAAAAUUGGAUUCUUUUUUUAGUAUCCAACUUCUCUAUCAGUUUUUAUAAACUCCAUCAAAUUUUAAUUAAAAACAAUUUUUUUUAAUAAAAAACAUUAUACAACUUUCAACAACGGAUCUCUUGGCUCUC
This 247-nucleotide unclassified non-coding RNA is filed under the name Mortierella sp. Its description in RNAcentral is "partial internal transcribed spacer region". The stretch from base 1 to 46 matches the Rfam family "Eukaryotic small subunit ribosomal RNA", at positions 1786 to 1831 of the family's 1831-position model. Lineage: Eukaryota; Fungi; Mortierellomycota; Mortierellomycetes; Mortierellales; Mortierellaceae. The record is from RNAcentral.